GACGUAGGAGGCGAGCGUUAUCCGGAUUCACUGGGCGUAAAGCGCAUGUAGGCGGUUCGCUAAGUCCGCUGUUAAAGCCCCCGGCUCAACUGGGGGAGGUCAGUGGGGACUAUAGGACUUGAGGGCAACAGAGGCACGUGGAACUCCCGGUGUAGCGGUGGAAUGCGUAGAGAUCGGGAAGAACACCAGUGGCGAAGGCGACGUGCUGGGUUGCGACUGACGCUGAGAUGCGAAAGUGUGGGGAGCAAACAGG
This 253-nucleotide ribosomal RNA is filed under the name uncultured bacterium. Its description in RNAcentral is "partial 16S ribosomal RNA". It matches the Rfam family "Bacterial small subunit ribosomal RNA", at positions 524 to 776 of the family's 1533-position model. The record is from RNAcentral.